This 1846-nucleotide ribosomal RNA is filed under the name Punctularia atropurpurascens. Its description in RNAcentral is "partial small subunit ribosomal RNA". It matches the Rfam family "Bacterial small subunit ribosomal RNA". Lineage: Eukaryota; Fungi; Basidiomycota; Agaricomycetes; Corticiales; Punctulariaceae. The record is from RNAcentral.
UUUUUCAGUAGUUUAAGACAUGCAAAUCGUUUGUUUCCCAAAUCUUUAUUAAUUUUUAAUUUUAAGUUAAUAUUAGUAUUAAGAAACAAGGUGUAAAGGUGAGGAAAGUAAAUGAGGUACCAUACAGACUUCGUAAAUAGGGGAUAGUUCUUUUUUUAGGUUUAAGAUCUUUAAUUAGAUUACAAACCAGACAGACAAAAAAGCUAUUUUGUUGAUAAGAACAAAGGAAAUUUUCCGCUGUAUGUUUCAAUUUAUGUUGUUUAGGUAGUUGGUGGGGUAGGAGCCUACCAAGCCGACGAUCAAUAGUCAAGUUCGAGAGAGCCACUGGCCACAUUGGGAAUGAAAUCUCCCAAGUAGUUUAUCUACCUGCAGUCAAGAAUAUUAGUCAAUGCUCGCAAGAGUGAACUAGCUAACUGAAAUCAUUAAUGUUUCCCCAGUGUUUCAUUAAUGAUGUCGUAAGGGAAAAUAAUGAUGAUACCUUACUAUGAGCGUUGUCCAAAUCUAGUGCCAGAAGACUCGGUAAGGCUAGGGACGCAAACGUUAACCGUAUUAAACAGGCGUAAAGGGUUUGUAGGCAGCUUUAAGUAUCCUAUUUUCCAAUAUAGCUGUACUUUUACAAAAAUUGUUUUAAUUAUAUUUUAUUAAAUUAUAAAAUAUAAAAAAAAAGACAAUCAUAAAGUAAUUGUAAAUACAAUAUAAUUAUAUUGUAGUUAAAGAGAAGAUCAAUUAAAGCUAGAAUCUAGCUGGGGAUAUAUAAAUAAUACUUAGAGUAGGGCUGAGAUCCGUAUAAACUAAGGGGAAUAUUAAAGGCGUAGGCUAUUUAUCCUUUAAAGAUUGACGCUGAGAAACGAAGGUGAGGAUAGGAAAUAGGAUUAGAGACCCAGGUACCCUCUCUGUCAACGAUGAAUGGUGGCUGCUAGAUAUAAUAAUUUAUUUAAAAUUAUGUUACAAAGAUCUGGUGGCGAUGUUAAGGCGAUAACCAUUCCGCCUUGUGAGUACGGCUGCAAAGCUGAAAUCAAAAAAUUAGUCGGUCUCGAAGCAAACGAAGUGAAGCAUGUUAUUUAAUACGAUAAUCCGCGUAAAAUCUUACCAGUUCUUGUAUAAAAUUUAGACUUAUUCCCUAAUUAAAUUGAUUUAUUUAAUUAGUUUAAUUUGGUUAAAUAGUUGUAUUAUCUAUUAUUAAAUAAAAAUUUUAUUUAGUGUAGAUAAGAAAAAAUAAGAUGUAUUUUAAUUUAUUUUAAAAACGCUUAUUACAGGUGUUGCAUGGCUGUCUUCAGUCCAUAUCGUGAGAAUUGAGGUUAGCUCCACAAACGGACGCAAUCCCUACUAUUAAUUUAUACUUAAUAGUUAAUGGUUUCUAAAAAGGUACCAAUAGGGGUUAAGACAAGUCGUUAUGGCCCUAAUGAACUGGGCUAUAGACGUGCCACAGAAACUUUUACAAAGUGAAGCAAAACCGUAUCUUUUUUAAAGAUACAUAGGGAAGAGCUAAUCAUUAAAGAAAGUUAAUUAUUAAAUGAUAGUCGGAUUGUUGUCUGAAAUUCGGCAGCAUGAAGAAGGAAUUUCGAGUAAUCGUUGAUCACUAGCGCAACGGUGAAGUAUUUAUUCGUGAUGAACUAACUGUCCGUCGCUGGGAAGGAGCUUAACUUGGUGGAAACUGAAGCACUGAAAAAUAUUGCAAAGAUUAAUAUAAUAUUUUUAUAUGAGAAAAAAUGAGAAAAAGAAAAUUCUUUUCCUCAUUUGAUUAAUUAUAAAAAUAAAGUAUUUGUUUGAAGUUUUUAAACAAUAGUUUAGUAAACCAUUAGACAUCUUUGUUUUAAGUUUGAUGAGUUCCUGUUAAUCCAUUUAA